Gigantopelta aegis is the source of this 964-nucleotide long non-coding RNA. RefSeq lists it as uncharacterized. The record is from RefSeq and is a predicted model, not a curated record. NCBI's taxonomy places the organism in Eukaryota, Metazoa, Mollusca, Gastropoda, Neomphalida, Peltospiridae. The transcript is spliced from 2 exons.
UAUGCUCUAGUGUAUUCUUUGAAAAAAAAAAAAAAUAAUAAUAAUAACCUUUGGAAGGUGUAAACUUGACAUCAUUAACAUUAAAAAACCAUCAAAAAUGGUAAUAGACAUAUCGAAUACAUUAUUACCUAUGACAAAUUGUUGAUCGCUGUCACAAGUCAAAUGAGUAUAUUAUUUAUAAGGUAUAUUUGUUUUUUAAUGAGCUACACUGCCACUGUGUUUUGGUAUUUAUUUAUAGUAUGACAUUAGGACAGUGACACUGAGUAAUGAACAAUAUUAGCUUGGAUAAUGAUUACAGGUGGUGAAUGUGGAAGACGGUCGUGAAGUGUGGUGUGGUGCAUGCAUUGUGAGCUUGGGAUGUGAGUAGUUUUGAUGAAUAAAAGCAGUGUACUCGGAUGGGUUGGUCACUCUGACAAUAAUUUUUGGAAGUGUGUUUUAAGCUGGUACAAGAGCUUUUAAUCCACAUGGGAUAGGAGAUGUAGUCUGGUUUCUCCUCUGUCUCAGCGAAGCACUCUUAGUAUUGUAAGAGGAACUGAUGUGCUUGCUGGUUGGAACGGGACAAAUCAGUACUGGAUGACGGUAGUUGACUCAACGGUUGGAGAAACUCAUCCAACAUGGUGAUGGGUGGUGGUGUGUGCAUCCAAUAGAUGGGGGUGCCUGGUAAUGAGGAACAUUGGCUUGGUUUAUGUGGUUCUAUUUGGAGAAAUCUGUGAACAUUUAGUUUAAACUUUGUGUUCUUUAUUGAACUGUAGAAACAGGAAUAUUACAUGGACAAUGGAAACGAACUAUAUUGUAGGGUAUAACAGUACAUUGUUUAUUGUUAUUUGAUAUAUAUAUGUGUAAAUAGUGUGUUGAAAUGAUUGGAAUGCAUUGAAUGGUGGGAUGAAAGAUGGUGUGAAAGGGUAUGGUAUGGUUAUGUGCAUAUAUAUUUAAUAUUGUUUACUUUCAUUAAAUUUAUUGUUUC